AUACGGGAGGCAGCAGUGGGGAAUCUUGCACAAUGGGGGAAACCCUGAUGCAGCGACGCCGCGUGAGCGAUGAAGCCCUUCGGGGUGUAAAGCUCUUUCGGCAGGAACGAUAAUGACGGUACCUGAAGAAGAAGCUGCGGCUAACUACGUGCCAGCAGCCGCGGUAAUACGUAGGCAGCGAGCGUUGUUCGGAGUUACUGGGCGUAAAGAGUGCGUAGGCUGUUUUCUAAGUUUGGUGUGAAAUCUCCCGGCUCAACUGGGAGGGUGCGCCGAAAACUGGAGAGCUUGAGUAUGGGAGAGGUAAGCGGAAUUCCUGGUGUAGCGGUGAAAUGCGUAGAUAUCAGGAGGAACACCGGUGGUGUAGACGGCUUACUGGACCAUCACUGACGCUGAGGCACGAAAGCGUGGGUAGCAAACAGGAUUAGAUACCCCUGUAGUCA
This 440-nucleotide ribosomal RNA is filed under the name uncultured bacterium. Its description in RNAcentral is "bacterial SSU rRNA". It matches the Rfam family "Bacterial small subunit ribosomal RNA", at positions 339 to 796 of the family's 1533-position model. The record is from RNAcentral.